This 448-nucleotide ribosomal RNA is filed under the name uncultured bacterium. Its description in RNAcentral is "bacterial SSU rRNA". It matches the Rfam family "Bacterial small subunit ribosomal RNA", at positions 64 to 507 of the family's 1533-position model. The record is from RNAcentral.
GAGCGGAUGACGGGAGCUUGCUCCUUGAUUCAGCGGCUCACGGGUGAGUAAUGCCUAGGAAUCUGCCUGGUAGUGGGGGACAACGUUUCGAAAGGAACGCUAAUACCGCAUACGUCCUACGGGAGAAAGCAGGGGACCUUCGGGCCCUGCGCUAUCAGAUGAGCCUAGGUCGGAUUAGCUAGUUGGUGGGGUAAUGGCUCACCAAGGCGACGAUCCGUAACUGGUCUGAGAGGAUGAUCAGUCACACUGGAACUGAGACACGGUCCAGACUCCUACGGGAGGCAGCAGUGGGGAAUAUUGGACAAUGGGCGAAAGCCUGAUCCAGCCAUGCCGCGUGUGUGAAGAAGGUCUUCGGAUUGUAAAGCACUUUAAGUUGGGAGGAAGGGCAGUAAGUUAAUACCUUGCUGUUUUGACGUUACCGACAGAAUAAGCACCGGCUAACUCUGUG